UACUUCAUUUUUUCUAAAUUUCUUAAAAGGUUUAGAUUUUUUUUUAAAUGUAGAGGAAUAAAAUUUACUGCGGAAAAAAAAACAACGAAAUAAAAAAAUAUUCCAAGAAAUGAUGGAGCCUUUAUAGGAAACGAAAUGACAAUUUUUCACAUGGCUAUAAAUGCACUUGGAAGAAAUUUCUUCCAACCAUUAUCACUGACAAUAAUUUAGUACACUGAGCCAAAAAAA
RNAcentral lists this long non-coding RNA (228 nucleotides) under Mytilus galloprovincialis (Mediterranean mussel). The record is from RNAcentral. Lineage: Eukaryota; Metazoa; Mollusca; Bivalvia; Mytilida; Mytilidae.